AGAAAACAAAUUAAGCUUGCCUCUGAAAUUGUUCGGUGUCAAUGAACUUCAGAGAUAGCUGCAAUUAAAGAGCAGAAAUGUUGUUAAAUUUUACUAAGAAUAUAGUAAACCUGAUAUCUUAAUCAAUUAAGUUCAUAUAUCAGGGAAACCAUAUAUCAUGCAUGCAUAUAUAUACUCUAUGUUACUUUAACAAACUCUAUUUUCAGCUUUUUGUGAAGAAAAAACUAUUGCUCAAAAAAUAAUUACCUAUAAGUGUCUACGACUAUGAAAAGAGAUAGUCACACUAGUCGUAAUCAUAUUUAGCGAGAAAUAAAUAAAAUAAAAAACAUAUUUAGCCCCUAUUCCAUAUGCCUUGCUACGCUAAGCAUGGUAACAUUAGCCGUUUAUAGGCCCAAAUAGAGACUUGACUAUCAGCGGCUCCUCUGUUUUCUAACCAGAAAAGGAAAGUGUUUCCUUCUUUACAAACUACUACACAUAUUUCCGCGUACACGCAUAGCAUACAACCAACUAUAAGCCACGGAACUUGAAUAGAGAAACACUUCAAAUCAUCGAUUCAAUAUCUUCAAUUGAAGCCAAAAAAAUAUUUAAUACUAUAAUUUAAAUUUUUUUCUAAAAAGCAAAACACUUCAAAUCAUCGAAUCAAUUGAAAAGCAUAAAUUAAGUAUACUUUUAGAAAAAAACAAAGAUAUACACCGUGUUCGGAAACAACAACAGCGUGCAAAGCAUUACAACAGAGUUAUAAACCAUACGCUACGAAACUUCACGCUCGAACAGGAAAUAUAAAAUUAUCAAAUCAAGCAAAAAUAGAAGAAGUAAAUAUAAGUAUUCUGAAAAGCAAACACGUACUCCGAUUUUGAUAAGCAUUACAACAUGCGAAGAAGAAUAACGGAAUCAGAAAGUAUAGGCUUUGAAACUUAACCUUUCUAGAUUCAAAUUAUAAAGUCAAUUACCUAAUUUCAAAAGCAAAAAGAGCAGAAAUUAACGUGCUGAAAAGCAAACACGAUCAUAACAUGCAAAGCAGAAUAACGGAAUUAGAAAGCAUAUGUUAUGAAAUUUCAACUUAAACAGGAAAAGGAAACUUAAAUUGCCGAAACAAAUUUGUUCAUUUCGAAAGCAAAAAAGAGUAAAAAUGAACUAAAAUUUCUGAUAAGCAAAAACGAACUCCGAUUUUGAUAAGAAUUAGAGCAUGCAAAGCAGAGUUAGAAACCGUACACGAUCGAGAUAGAUGUUGCCGUGGACAUUGUCAUGAACGUGUUUGGAGAAUCGCCGAUCGUCGACGAAAGAAGUGGCGGAGGUGUAGGUCCGGAAGUCAUCGUUGCUACAAUCUCCCAUUGGUAGCUGUUUCAGGUAUAUACUGUUGUCGAAACUUCUGGAGAAUUCCGGAGAUAGUACUUUGGUUCUUAGUGUAAAGGUUUCGAUUGAGAGAAUUUGGUUGUGUUAGCGUUUCUGCUUGCUUUUAUAGGCGGGGAGAGUGGAGAGGGAAAGGCGUCAGGUACAGGAAUAUUUGCAGUGGUGGUGAAGUGAUGCCGCCAAAUAAAAUAAAUUUCUUAGUCUACGCGCGGCGGAAGAGCGUGCUAGAACCUCGACUUUAUUUACUUUUUCUUUUGUAUUUUCGUGUUAGACAAUGCAUUUCAAAUGACAACAAAGGGAUGGUUCUGCUAUGAAUUCUUUUCUCUCCGUUCAAUACCUGCAUGAAUUUCCGACUAAUUUGAAUUUAUAUCACAUAAGACUUGCUAAAGUAAAAGUGUUUUCCAUCAAUUUUCACAUAAUUAAG
RNAcentral lists this long non-coding RNA (1774 nucleotides) under Nicotiana tabacum (common tobacco). RNAcentral describes it as "long non-coding RNA (NTAB_LNC017453)". Lineage: Eukaryota; Viridiplantae; Streptophyta; Magnoliopsida; Solanales; Solanaceae. The record is from RNAcentral.